Molecule: transfer RNA, 27 nt
Filed under: unidentified
Description: Moniezia sp. PK-2022 partial tRNA-Pro
Source: RNAcentral
CUUAUCUUAGUUUAAUUAAGAAUUUAG